UCCCAGGUAAACAUUCGGUCUAAAUAAAAGCUGUGAAGCCGUGACAUACCUCUUUUAAUUUCAGAUGGAGAUGGAUUGAGGCAACUUCUGAUGUCCUCUUUUGUGCUGCAAAUUCUUUCUAACGUUAUUUGUGAUGGAAAAACAACACCUCACAUCAGAAAAGCGUGAAAAGAAAUUCUCAAACUCUGUGGUUUGCUCAUCCUCACUUCCAUCUGGGGUCAGAAGCUGACCCUUAAUCAUGCUGCUUCAUGGCCGACCAGUCGAACGACCACUUAUGCAUAAUGUGAUUUAUUGUGAUGACAGUGGUUUAUCUCUCUGAAUCGCACUGUUUUGAUUGAGGCUCCAGCAUUAUCGCCUGCAAUUAGUCUCUUUUCAAUCAGGUCCUAUUGAGAAUCAGAGGGAACGUUUUUUUUUUGUUGUACGUUGUUUUUGUUUGUUUUACCCGCGGCCUUGCAGAGAAACAGAAUGAGACGACGGUGGACUUCCGGAAAACAUCCCCCACUUCCCUCCUCUCACCAUCGUCAGCAACACUUUCUUACUGCAGAGCCCUUCCAGUUCGUGAAACCCCAUCUCUCUUCCAUCUCCUACGCCAAACGGACGAUCUGCAAUUGAGCCGUUAGCUGACCAUGGCUAACGACUUGGCAGCAAACAUCUUUCCAUCCAGACCACAAAGCAAUGGCUCUACUACAAAUCACACAGCGUAAUCCUGGUUUGACAGAAGACACACAACACCUUGCAUGGCACUGUGCCACAAUGAAAUGAGUGCAGAGGCCCAGAACAGGAGAUGUAACUCCAAACAAGUACUGAACCGGGAAUCAGCAAAGACAUAAUAUGUUCUACAGUCAAAAAUUCUCGACAAAACCCACGGCUCCACAAUAAAUUGUCAGUAUUUAUUGAUCAGUUUUCAAUUGGAUAAAAUCCUUCAAAAUGUAGGAAUACGUGUAUAUUGCUUGUUUUCUACACAUUUAUUUUUACCUGGGUCUUCUGUUAUAUCUGAGUCAUGACACUAAACUGAGUCCUGAUGUUGUCAAAGUCACAGUAAAGUUGCUUUAAUUCAUAUUUUUGGCUUUCGUCACGUAAAAUGAGAAAUUUAGACAUCUACUGUUAAGUGUGCUCAACUAAGUAAAAAUCCUAAUUUUUUUUUUUUUUUUUACCCCGACGGGUUCUUUUGUGGGCUCUAGUGUCCCUUAUAUGAUAGUAGGCUG
Molecule: long non-coding RNA, 1205 nt
Organism: Xiphophorus hellerii (green swordtail)
Lineage: Eukaryota; Metazoa; Chordata; Actinopteri; Cyprinodontiformes; Poeciliidae
Exons: 3
Source: RefSeq, a predicted model, not a curated record